This 497-nucleotide ribosomal RNA is filed under the name uncultured bacterium. Its description in RNAcentral is "partial 16S ribosomal RNA". It matches the Rfam family "Bacterial small subunit ribosomal RNA", at positions 28 to 507 of the family's 1533-position model. The record is from RNAcentral.
GAUGAACGCUGGCGGCGUGCCUAAUACAUGCAAGUCGAGCGAACGGACGAGAAGCUUUCUUCUCUGAUGUUAGCGGCGGACGGGUGAGUAACACGUGGAUAACCUACCUAUAAUACUGGGAUAACUUCGGGAAACCAGAGCUAAUACCGGAUAAUAUUUUGAACCGCAUGGUUCAAAAGUGAAAGACGGUCUUGCUGUCACUUAUAGAUGGAUCCGCGCUGCAUUAGCUAGUUGGUAAGGUAACGGCUUACCAAGGCAACGAUGCAUAGCCGACCUGAGAGGGUGAUCGGCCACACUGGAACUGAGACACGGUCCAGACUCCUACGGGAGGCAGCAGUAGGGAAUCUUCCGCAAUGGGCGAAAGCCUGACGGAGCAACGCCGCGUGAGUGAUGAAGGUCUUCGGAUCGUAAAACUCUGUUAUUAGGGAAGAACAUAUGUGUAAGUAACUGUGCACAUCUUGACGGUACCUAAUCAGAAAGCCACGGCUAACUACGUG